CGGGUCCUAAGCAAAGUCCGAAAGGGGUAUGCGAUGGAAAAUUGGUUAAUAUUCCAAUGCCAACUAUAAUGUGCGAUGGAAGGACGCUUAGAGUUAAGCAAGCUAGCGGAUGGUAGUGCUAGUCGAAAGGUGUAGGUUAAGAUCCAGGCAAAUCCGGAUCUUUUUAAGCCGAGACCCCACAGGCGUUUGAAGUUCUUCGGAAUGGAUAGCGAAUUGCUGAUACUGUCGAGCCAAGAAAAGUUUCUAAGUUUAGUUAUAGUUGCCCGUACCGUAAACCGACACAGGUGGGUGGGAUGAGUAUUCUAAGGCGCGUGGAAGAACUCUCUUCAAGGAACUCUGCAAAAUAGCACCGUAUCUUCGGUAUAAGGUGUGCCUAACUUUGUGAAGGAUUUACUCCGUAAGCAUUGAAGGUUACAACAAAGAGUCCCUCCCGACUGUUUACCAAAAACACAGCACUCUGCUAACUCGUAAGAGGAUGUAUAGGGUGUGACGCCUGCCCGGUGCUCGAAGGUUAAUUGAUGACGUUAGCUCUGCGAAGCGUUUGAUCGAAGCCCGAGUAAACGGCGGCCGUAACUAUAACGGUCCUAAGGUAGCGAAAUUCCUUGUCGAUUAAAUAUCGACCUGCAUGAAUGGCGUAACGAGAUGGGAGCUGUCUCGAAGAGGGAUCCAGUGAAAUUGUAGUGGAGGUGAAAAUUCCUCCUACCCGCGGCAAGACGGAAAGACCCCGUGGACCUUUACUACAGCUUGACACUGCUAUUGGGAUAAAAAUGUGCAGGAUAGGUGGGAGGCUUUGAUCCAUAGACGCCAGUUUAUGGUGAGCCGUUGUUGAGAUACCACUCUUUUUUAUUCUGAUAGCUAACUAGCUUGAGUUAUCCUCAAGUAGGACAAUGUCUGGUGGGUAGUUUGACUGGGGCGGUCGCCUCCCAAAAUGUAACGGAGGCUUACAAAGGUUGGCUCAGAACGGUUGGAAAUCGUUCGCAGAGUAUAAAGGCAAAAGCCAGCUUAACUGCGAGACAUACACGUCAAGCAGGGACGAAAGUCGGUCUUAGUGAUCCGGUGGUUCUGUGUGGAAGGGCCAUCGCUCAAAGGAUAAAAGGUACCCCGGGGAUAACAGGCUGAUCUCCCCCAAGAGCUCACAUCGACGGGGAGGUUUGGCACCUCGAUGUCGGCUCAUCGCAUCCUGGGGCUGAAGUCGGUCCCAAG
This 1203-nucleotide ribosomal RNA is filed under the name human oral metagenome. RNAcentral's name for it is "bacterial LSU rRNA". It matches the Rfam family "Bacterial large subunit ribosomal RNA", at positions 1385 to 2569 of the family's 2925-position model. The record is from RNAcentral.